Molecule: microRNA precursor, 188 nt
Organism: Nicotiana attenuata
Lineage: Eukaryota; Viridiplantae; Streptophyta; Magnoliopsida; Solanales; Solanaceae
Rfam family: MIR159 microRNA precursor family
Source: Rfam
GUUUUGAGAGUGGAGCUCCUUGAAGUCCAACAGAGGAUCUAACAGGUAAGAUUGAGCUGCUGACCUAUGGAUUCCUCAGUCCUAUCUAUUAUUUGAUUGGAUAGGUUUGUGGGUUGCAUAUGUCAGGAGCUUCAUUGCCCUAAGUUGGAUCCCUUUUUGGAUUGAAGGGAGCUCUACAUUCAUUUAAC